Molecule: long non-coding RNA, 425 nt
Filed under: Zea mays
Lineage: Eukaryota; Viridiplantae; Streptophyta; Magnoliopsida; Poales; Poaceae
Description: long non-coding RNA (ZMAY_LNC003039)
Source: RNAcentral
UUUAAAUCCAUAGUCUCAUCAAUUGCAUCACAAAAGUCAUAUCCAUAGUCAUAAUAAGACACAUCUUAUCAUCCAGUACUAAUAAGAGACAAUAUUUCAUACAUAGUCAUAAUAAAAGUCUCAAGUAUCAGAACACAAUAACAUGGAAGCUCACGGUCGCCGAUCACCAUCGGGUUACAGUGACGAGUGAUGGUCGAUACCUCCACUAGCGAAGAGGGUUUCGACAAAGUCUAACCCGUCUUCUCGUUCAUGCGUUGGCAAGGUAGUUCAUGCGUUGGCAAGGUAGCUGGAGGGGUCUAAUAUACAUGUACAAAUGAUAUUUGCCGAGUUACAUCAUAAUAUAACUAACAACAAGUAAAUGAUGAUGAAUUUGCAUACCUGAUGUUUGGUAGAUGGAAAUGUAAGUGUAGGUGGAGGUGAAGACC